RNAcentral lists this ribosomal RNA (247 nucleotides) under uncultured bacterium. RNAcentral's name for it is "partial 16S ribosomal RNA". It matches the Rfam family "Bacterial small subunit ribosomal RNA", at positions 524 to 768 of the family's 1533-position model. The record is from RNAcentral.
UACGGAGGGUGCGAGCGUUGUCCGGAAUCACUGGGCGUAAAGGGCGCGUAGGCGGCGCGGGAAGUCAUCGGUGAAAGUUCAGGGCUCAACUCUGAAUCGGCCCGGUGAUACUCUCGUGCUUGAGCACUGUAGAGGCGAGGUGGAAUUCCGGGUGUAGCGGUGGAAUGCGUAGAGAUCCGGAAGAACACCGGUGGCGAAGGCGGCCUGCUGGGCAGUAGCUGACGCUGAUGCGCGACAGCGUGGGGAG